Molecule: ribosomal RNA, 253 nt
Filed under: uncultured bacterium
Lineage: Bacteria
Description: partial 16S ribosomal RNA
Rfam family: Bacterial small subunit ribosomal RNA
Source: RNAcentral
UACGUAGGGUGCGAGCGUUGUCCGGAAUUAUUGGGCGUAAAGAGCUCGUAGGCGGUUUGUUGCGUCGGCCGUGAAAACUUGGGGCUUAACCCCGAGCCUGCGGUCGAUACGGGCAGACUUGAGUUCGGCAGGGGAGACUGGAAUUCCUGGUGUAGCGGUGAAAUGCGCAGAUAUCAGGAGGAACACCGGUGGCGAAGGCGGUGAGCUAGGCAGUUGCUGACACUGAGGCGCGACAGCGUGGGGAGCAAACAGG